GUACAUUCGCACCGUCGCUGCAAAAUCAGCGACCGGGUUUGGUCGCCCGAGUA
Molecule: non-coding RNA, 53 nt
Filed under: Pseudomonas rhizosphaerae
Lineage: Bacteria; Pseudomonadati; Pseudomonadota; Gammaproteobacteria; Pseudomonadales; Pseudomonadaceae
Source: RNAcentral